GGAAGAUGCUGCUAAAUGGAUGGCAACCAGUCUCGAAAGCUGGGGUACAGGUAAUACCUGUAAAGGUUCGAUUCCUUCAUCUUCGG
This 86-nucleotide transfer RNA is filed under the name Microcoleus sp. FACHB-831. RNAcentral describes it as "tRNA-Ser". It matches the Rfam family "tRNA". Rfam says of the family: Transfer RNA (tRNA) molecules are approximately 80 nucleotides in length. Their secondary structure includes four short double-helical elements and three loops (D, anti-codon, and T loops). The record is from RNAcentral. Lineage: Bacteria; Bacillati; Cyanobacteriota; Cyanophyceae; Oscillatoriales; Microcoleaceae.